UUCCAAGGUGUUGAGUUCAGUUCAGGGCAGCUUCCCUGUUCUGUUAAUUAAACUUUGGGACAUUGAAAUUGGCUAAGGGAAAUGACUGAAUAGAGAGUAUUACUCUGUUCAUACACUUCCUAGUCUACACCA
This is a small nucleolar RNA of Peromyscus maniculatus bairdii (prairie deer mouse), 132 nucleotides long. The record is from Ensembl. Lineage: Eukaryota; Metazoa; Chordata; Mammalia; Rodentia; Cricetidae.